This 24-nucleotide non-coding RNA is filed under the name Arabidopsis thaliana (thale cress). Lineage: Eukaryota; Viridiplantae; Streptophyta; Magnoliopsida; Brassicales; Brassicaceae. The record is from RNAcentral.
UUUACACGUUUUAGGUUCCAGUGU